ACUCCUGCGGGAGGCAGCAGUGGGGAAUUUUGGACAAUGGGCGAAAGCCUGAUCCAGCAAUGCCGCGUGAGUGAAGAAGGCCUUCGGGUUGUAAAGCUCUUUUGUCAGGGAAGAAACGGUGAAAGCUAAUAUCUUUUGCUAAUGACGGUACCUGAAGAAUAAGCACCGGCUAACUACGUGCCAGCAGCCGCGGUAAUACUUAGGGUGCAAGCGUUAAUCGGAAUUACUGGGCGUAAAGCGUGCGCAGGCGGUUUUGUAAGUCUGAUGUGAAAUCCCCGGGCUCAACCUGGGAAUUGCAUUGGAGACUGCAAGGCUAGAAUCUGGCAGAGGGGGGUAGAAUUCCACGUGUAGCAGUGAAAUGCGUAGAUAUGUGGAGGAACACCGAUGGCGAAGGCAGCCCCCUGGGUCAAGAUUGACGCUCAUGCACGAAAGCGUGGGGAGCAAACAGGAUUAGAAACCCUAGUAGUCCCAUGAU
RNAcentral lists this ribosomal RNA (475 nucleotides) under uncultured organism. Its description in RNAcentral is "partial 16S ribosomal RNA". It matches the Rfam family "Bacterial small subunit ribosomal RNA", at positions 335 to 801 of the family's 1533-position model. The record is from RNAcentral.